RNAcentral lists this small nuclear RNA (194 nucleotides) under Neofusicoccum parvum UCRNP2. Its description in RNAcentral is "U2 spliceosomal RNA". It matches the Rfam family "U2 spliceosomal RNA". From Rfam's summary of the family: U2 is a small nuclear RNA (snRNA) component of the spliceosome (involved in pre-mRNA splicing). Lineage: Eukaryota; Fungi; Ascomycota; Dothideomycetes; Botryosphaeriales; Botryosphaeriaceae. The record is from Rfam by way of RNAcentral.
AGCCUUCUCUUUGCCUUUUGGCUUAGAUCAAGUGAAGUGUGCUGUUCUUCUUGGUUUAAUCUCUGGGAUGUGCCUACGGGUACCUAGUGAUUAACCCACUUUUUGGAAAUCGUGCUGGUGGUCCCUGGGCUUCGCCCAUACUACUGGCCACAGUGUCGUUCCUAUUGCACUGCCUGGUUCUGACGCGACUUCUA